RNAcentral lists this unclassified non-coding RNA (295 nucleotides) under Hevea brasiliensis (rubber tree). Lineage: Eukaryota; Viridiplantae; Streptophyta; Magnoliopsida; Malpighiales; Euphorbiaceae. The record is from RNAcentral.
AAAUAAAGAAACAAAAAGUGAAAUAUGUAAGGAUGAAGAUAAUAAAGUUUAAAGGAAAUUGUGGAUGAAGUCCACAAUCUCCAUCAUUUGCAAGCAUCAAGCGGAGCGCCGCACAAACACUUGUUAUGAAAAUAAGAAUACAAAUCAAAGCUUUGCAACGCCCCACCCACCGGAAUCUUCCCACAAAGCCGAUUAUAACUCACAUUCAAAUACUGCAAAUUCAAUUCCGUCAUCGCCGGCGGCAAACCCCCAAACACCUUAUUAUGAUUAACAUCCAACGAUGUCAAGCUCUGAG